Molecule: long non-coding RNA, 3887 nt
Organism: Sciurus carolinensis (gray squirrel)
Lineage: Eukaryota; Metazoa; Chordata; Mammalia; Rodentia; Sciuridae
Exons: 3
Source: RefSeq, a predicted model, not a curated record
CUCAAACUUGCAAUCCUCCUCCCUCAGUUUCCCAAGUCUCUGGGAUUACAGAUAUAAAGAUUGCCAUGCCCAGCUGCUCAUCCUCCCUCCUUCCUUCCCUCCUUCCUUCCUUCCUUCCAUUUAUGAGACAGGGCCUCACUAAAUUGCUGAGGCUGGCUUUGAACUUGUAAGCCUACUGCCUCAGCCUCCUGAGCUACUGGGAUUACAGGGAUGCACCAACAUACCUGGCUGCUCUUUCAUUGCUUACCAUUUUGUAGUCAUUUGGACUUUUAUUUAGCUUCAUAUAACACACGUAGGCUUAAUUGCCAAUUUUUUAAAAAGAAUGUGAUUUUUUUGGUAUAAAGACAGUUUGAACAUUAUAAAAACACAACACAAAUAUUUCUUUAAAAACGUGUAUAAAUUAGCAAUUUAUUGAGGUAAACUUACACAUUCCAAGAAAUGAUCUGGCUCUGAAGCAGGAUAUUCAAACUGCCUAGACUUUUAUAUUAUCAUUUCAAAACCAUUACAUAUAAUAUUUCAAGUGGCACUUCAUAAAAUUAUAAAUAUCAAUCACACAUAAAUUAACUCAAAUCUCAUAUUUAAAUUAUCAAUAAAUUAAAAAUAAUUAAAAUAGUGUCCUAACGCUCAUACUGUCAGUUCUUCGUAGAGAACAUAAGGUAGGUACCCAGUGGACAGGACAUGUUUUCUGACCAUAGGAAGGAAUGCCCAUAAACCAAUAAGCUUAGAUGCCCACACUAUGCUUUCCGAACAGCCCUCAUGGUGAACUGCAGGAAAUCCUCAAGGCUGCUCAAGAUGAGUUGUAUGGUCAUGAUCUUCUGCCAGUCGUUCUGUGACUCCAGCUUUUCCAUCAGGCUGGCAUUUGCAGUUGGACUAGGGAAGAUUAUUUUAUCAGGAUUCUUCACCUGAAGGGGAAAAAAAACAAAAAGGAUUGUAAAAUAUUGCACAAACCCUUUGCACUGGAAAAAUGCUCUGGUCUAUGGGGAGAUAUUUAAAUUUGGGGUGUGUGAGAUUAUUUGAGGCCACCUGUCCUGACUCAUCCAGAUCAGGGGACAUGCUUUUGCUCUGAGUCCACACUGAGCCUUCUACAGCAAUGGAAUUCUAAUUAUCCCUUUGCCACUCUGUCUCCUACCAGAUGGUAAGUAUUUAGAGGACAGCACCACUAUCAUAUCUGUCUUCCCUUCAGUUUCCAAAACAGUGCCUGGCACAAAGUUGUUAUUAAAUAGGUGAAUGAAGAAUUCAUAACUAAAGGGAAUUUAAUGAGUUCUAAAUUUAGUGCUUUUCUCCAGUUUCCCUCUCACUAUCCAUCUGACAUCUGUUGAGAGACCACUGUUCUGGUGGUAUAAAAAGUGGAAAGGUCCUUCAAUAAGUCCACCAACAGGGAGAUUACUAGGCCUUGAAUCCCCCAGGUGUGUGGUCCUGGAUUACUGCAGCAUUGAUAUCAACAGGGAGUUGGUUAGAAAUGCUAAUCUCAGGCCCCACCCAGACCUGCUAAAUCAGAGGACAGCAAAGGAGAUCCUGGAAUUCCUGUGCAGUUAAGGUAUGAAAAGCCCUGCUUUUAGGCAAACAACUAUAAGUGGGAGAGGUAGGAUUAGCACUGAGCAUUUCAUUCUAGGAUUCUUCUCAUUUCACUUUACUUGGAUCACCCACGCUCUGAGCCACCAGCCUUCCAUGAUCUAUCAUUUAAAAGCUAGCUGGUGGUUGCAAAGCCCUUGGUCCUCCUUGGUCCCUAGCCUUUGGCCAUAUCUGUGCAUUAACUCUUUUCCUUAUCUCUUAAGUUAUUAGAAAUUCAUGUUAAAAUCAGUCUGAGGAUAUAGCUCAGUUGGUAGAGUGCUGCCUUGCACAUACAAGGCCCUGGCUUCAAUCCCCAGCACUAUCAAAAACAAAAAACAAAAAACAAAACAAAACAAAAAAACAACAAAAGAGAAAUUCAUGUUAAAAUCCACAUCAUUUAAUGUAGUUUCAAAUACAGAUGUCAAUCUUUACAGAAGAAAGCCAAAAACCAAACAACCAAACAAAGGGUUAGCUAUCAGGAACUAUUUCUCAGUCCCUUUUCAGUCCCUCUACCUUACAUGCAGCUAUCCUUGUCUAAGUAGCCUUGCAUCCUCAGGUGACCUUGACCCUCUCCUCCCUAUAACUGGCCCUGUUGAGAGACAAGGAUGUACUCACCUCUUCUUUCAGGAUCUCAAUGAGGGCUUUGGAACUGUACUGCACAUGUUGGGCUCUGUCAUUGUCCUUGCUAUCCUGAAACUUGUUCUGGAUGUACUUCAGGUAGAUCUGAAACUCCAGAAGCCCAGAGGUGAUUCUUACAAGGCAAUUGUCCUAUAAGAAGAGAAGGAGAAAUCAGCUAUUGUUAGGAGACAACAUCAAUUUGAAAGUUUAAAAUUUCUAUAAUUCAGCAUCUUUUUUAAUUUGGCAUCAAAUUUUGGGACACUGGACAGCAUCAGCUGUCCCAUUUUAAAUAUCUGGAGAAUCAGAGACACCAUAAUCUCCUGGAAGGAGAUACUCCUGGAAGGAGAUGGGUAUACAGAAUGACAUCAGUAGGGAGGCUGGACUGGAUCCUGCCUAGGGCAGCCAGAGAGGAGAAUGGUCCCCCAACUAUCUUACCCAGAAUGAACUAGGUAUCAUUUGGCAUCUGUGAAAAAUCCCAACACAGGAGCCAUCUCUGGCUCUGCCUGUUCAGAGAUAAACUGCCUUUUAAAAAAGCUUUAAGUUGAAUUUCUCAUACAAUUUACAGAAUGUUCUUUACAUCUGUCUCCUUUGUUGCCUCCCUGAUUCUAUAUGUACUCAGGCACUUCAUGCAAGAGAGCGAGCUUUGGCUGAGGAAUAGAAGUUUUUACCCGGUUGUAUCCAGUUUGGAAGCAUCCAUCUUUUUCGGUCAUCUUUGGAAGGUUCAGAUUGUUUUCGGACACUGCAACCUGGCUCUUGAUACAGGUUUCAUCAUUCUUGCACAGCUGGGAAAGAACACCAGAACUGUUAUUAUUUAAGUGCCCCUAAAGCAAACACCACUAGAGGGCUGAUUUGUGUUCUACCACAGCCAAGAAAGUCUAAGAAAAACUAACUCAUAAUUUAUCUGUAUCCUGGCAAGCAAAGUCUAGCGAAAUUAGGCACAAUUGGAUUCAAUCCCAGGCCCACCUGUGACUUCAGUGACUCAGCACUUUAGCAUUUGUUGAGAAAGUAAAGCCGAAGUCAUACACGGUAUUUUAUGAGGGGGAAAAAGAAGCUAAAGGUAUGAUUUUUAAAAACAAUACUUUGAUUACCAGACUAAGAGGCUAGGAUUUAAUAUUCCAUAUUAUCUGUAUUUGUGAAAAACCUAAGACAUUCUGAUCUGAGUUUCCUCAGCUCACACCACAGCACGCAAGCUUUCUGGGGUUACACAGAAGAUAAUACUACCAGUCACCUCAGUAUUUUUAUUUCCUGCUUCUCACCAUGACCAGCUGUUGCAGAAUUGUCUAGCUAACCCCAAAUCUUGUGCAGUUAUUUCUAGGAGUCUCCAGGUGGAGUAUGCAGUGCAUGCAUAAAUGACUCCUUACCAAAAAGUGGCACCUACUAGUUUCCACCUCAUCUGUUCCAGCCCAUUUUGGGGAGAAGGCUGAUCUCAUCUGGUUCCCUGCUGUCUUCCUGCUGGGUCCUUGUGAAUCCUUCUGAAGUCCACAGCCUUCCCUGUGCAUGGCCAUCAUCAUUAUUCAAGUUCCAAAAUGGCUUCUGAGCAUGAAGGUGCCAGACAGUCCUAGAUCUUGUGCUUUUGGCUGCCAAAAAAGGGCAGGUUGUAUGGACCAAGAAAUGUAAAGUUACCCUAUCUACACAUGCACCUGCAGCAUGGAUGUUUCUUUGUAUGGAUGCCUGGACUGGCAUUGGAAGAAACAGACGCUUCAUGUUCCAAAGCAUUA